UCCCGGUGACUCAGAAGGUAAAGAAUCUGCCUGCAAUGCAGGAAACCCGGGUUCAAUCCCUGGGUCGGGAA
This is a non-coding RNA of Bos taurus (domestic cattle), 71 nucleotides long. Lineage: Eukaryota; Metazoa; Chordata; Mammalia; Artiodactyla; Bovidae. The record is from Rfam.